RNAcentral lists this ribosomal RNA (245 nucleotides) under uncultured bacterium. RNAcentral's name for it is "partial 16S ribosomal RNA". It matches the Rfam family "Bacterial small subunit ribosomal RNA", at positions 524 to 768 of the family's 1533-position model. The record is from RNAcentral.
UACGUAGGUGGCGAGCGUUACUCGGAAUUACUAGGCGUAAAGCGUGUGUAGGCGGGGGCUUAAGUCCGUCGUGAAAUCUCACGGCUCAACCGUGAGCGGUCGACGGAUACUGGGCUUCUUGAGUGCGGUAGGGGAAACUGGAAUUCCCGGUGUAGCGGUGAAAUGCGUAGAGAUCGGGAAGAACGCCAAAGGCGAAGGCAGGUUUCUGGGCCGUUACUGACGCUGAGACACGAAAGCUAGGGGAG